AUUAAAGUGGCAGAGCCUGGUAAUUGCAAGAGACCUAAAAUCUCUCAAUCAGGAGUUCAAAUCCCCUCUUUAAU
This 74-nucleotide transfer RNA is filed under the name Rhyacotriton variegatus (southern torrent salamander). RNAcentral's name for it is "tRNA-Leu". It matches the Rfam family "tRNA". Rfam says of the family: Transfer RNA (tRNA) molecules are approximately 80 nucleotides in length. The record is from RNAcentral. Lineage: Eukaryota; Metazoa; Chordata; Amphibia; Caudata; Rhyacotritonidae.